RNAcentral lists this transfer RNA (77 nucleotides) under Desulfovibrio desulfuricans. It matches the Rfam family "tRNA". Rfam says of the family: Transfer RNA (tRNA) molecules are approximately 80 nucleotides in length. The record is from RNAcentral. Lineage: Bacteria; Pseudomonadati; Thermodesulfobacteriota; Desulfovibrionia; Desulfovibrionales; Desulfovibrionaceae. RNAcentral also lists the same sequence under 18 other names.
CGCGGGGUGGAGCAGCUCGGUAGCUCGUCGGGCUCAUAACCCGAAGGUCGCAGGUUCAAAUCCUGCCCCCGCAACCA